AGAGUUUGAUCCUGGCUCAGGAUGAACGCUAGCUACAGGCUUAACACAUGCAAGUCGAGGGGCAGCAUGUUGGUUGCUUGCAACCAAUGAUGGCGACCGGCGCACGGGUGAGUAACGCGUAUCCAACCUACCCUUGUCCAUCGGAUAACCCGUCGAAAGGCGGCCUAACACGAUAUGCGGUUCUCAGCAGGCAUCUAACGAGAACGAAAUGUGAAGGAGAAGGAUGGGGAUGCGUCUGAUUAGCUUGGUUGGCGGGGUAACGGCCACCAAGGCGACGAUCGAGUAGGGGUUCUGGAGAGGAAGGUCCCCCANAUUGGAACUGAGACACGGUCCAAACUCCGUACGGGAGGCA
RNAcentral lists this ribosomal RNA (352 nucleotides) under uncultured bacterium. RNAcentral's name for it is "bacterial SSU rRNA". It matches the Rfam family "Bacterial small subunit ribosomal RNA", at positions 8 to 350 of the family's 1533-position model. The record is from RNAcentral.